RNAcentral lists this ribosomal RNA (497 nucleotides) under uncultured bacterium. RNAcentral describes it as "partial 16S ribosomal RNA". It matches the Rfam family "Bacterial small subunit ribosomal RNA", at positions 28 to 507 of the family's 1533-position model. The record is from RNAcentral.
GAUGAACGCUGGCGGCGUGCCUAAUACAUGCAAGUCGAGCGAACAGACGAGGAGCUUGCUCCUCUGACGUUAGCGGCGGACGGGUGAGUAACACGUGGAUAACCUACCUAUAAGACUGGGAUAACUUCGGGAAACCGGAGCUAAUACCGCAUAAUAUAUUGAACCGCAUGGUUCAAUAGUGAAAGAUGCUUUUGCUGUCACUUAUAGAUGGAUCCGCGCCGCAUUAGCUAGUUGGUAAGGUAACGGCUUACCAAGGCAACGAUGCGUAGCCGACCUGAGAGGGUGAUCGGCCACACUGGAACUGAGACACGGUCCAGACUCCUACGGGAGGCAGCAGUAGGGAAUCUUCCGCAAUGGGCGAAAGCCUGACGGAGCAACGCCGCGUGAGUGAUGAAGGUCUUCGGAUCGUAAAACUCUGUUAUUAGGGAAGAACAAAUGUGUAAGUAGCUAUGCACGUCUUGACGGUACCUAAUCAAAAAGCCACGGCUAACUACGUG